AGGAUUAACGCUGGCGGCGUGCCUAACACAUGCAAGUCGAGCGGCAGCGAGUUUUUACACUGAAUUCUGGAAGCUUCUAGUUGAAAGAGAAGAUUUAUUCAAGAAUUUGUGUAAAAUGUCGGCGAGCGGCGGACGGCUGAGUAACGCGUGGGAACGUACCCCAAAGUGAGGGAUAACGCAUCGAAAGGUGUGCUAAUACCGCAUAUGGUCUUCGGAUUAAAGCCUUCGGGCGCUUUGGGAACGGCCUGCGUAAGAUUAGAUAGUUGGUGGGGUAAUGGCCUACCAAGUCGACGAUCUUUAACUGGUUUGAGAGGAUGAUCAGUCAGACUGGAACUGAGACACGGUCCAGACUCCUACGGGAGGCAGCAGUGAGGAAUCUUCCACAAUGGGCGAAAGCCUGAUGGAGCAACGCCGCGUGCAGGAUGAAGGCCUUCGGGUUGUAAACUGCUUUUAUAAGUGAUGAUUAUGACAGUAACUUAUGAAUAAGGAUCGGCUAACUACGUGCCAGCAGCCGCGGUCAUACGUAGGAUCCGAGCGUUAUCCGGAGUGACUGGGCGUAAAGAGUUGCGUAGGUGGUUUAAUAAGCGAAUAGUGAAGUCUGGUGGCUCAACCAUUCAGACUAUUAUUCGAACUGUUGAACUCGAGAGCAGAAGAGGUAGCUGGAAUUUCUAGUGUAGGAGUGAAAUCCGUAGAUAUUAGAAGGAACACCGAUGGCGUAGGCAGGCUACUGGGCUGUUUCUGACACUGAGGCACGAAAGCAUGGGGAGCGAACCGGAUUAGAUACCCGGGUAGUCCACGCCGUAAACGAUGGAUACUAGCUGUUUGGGGUAUCGACCCCCUGAGUAGCGAAGCUAACGCGUUAAGUAUCCCGCCUGUGGAGUACGAUCGCAAGAUUAAAACAUAAAGGAAUUGACGGGGACCCGCACAAGCGGUGGAUCAUGUUCUUUAAUUCGAUGAUAACCGAUAAACCUUACCAGGUCUUGACAUCCUUGGAAUCUUUCAGAAAUGAGAGAGUGCUUUUUAAGAGCCAAGUGACAGGUGAUGCAUGGCCGUCGUCAGCUCGUGUCGUGAGAUGUUUGGUUAAGUCCAUCAACGAGCGCAACCCUUGUCAGUAGUUGUAUUUUUCUACUGAGACUGCCCCGGUAACGGGGAGGAAGGAGGGGAUGACGUCAGGUCAGUAUUUCCCUUACGUCCUGGGCUAGAAACGUGAUACAAUGGCUAGUACAAUGCGCAGCGAAGCCGCGAGGUGAAGCAAAUCGCAUCAAAGCUAGUCCCAGUUCGGAUUGUAGGCUGAAACUCGCCUGCAUGAAGUCGGAAUCGCUAGUAAUCGCAGAUCAGCAUGCUGCGGUGAAUACGUUCCCGGGUCUUGUACACACCGCCCGUC
This 1384-nucleotide ribosomal RNA is filed under the name uncultured bacterium. Its description in RNAcentral is "bacterial SSU rRNA". It matches the Rfam family "Bacterial small subunit ribosomal RNA", at positions 26 to 1398 of the family's 1533-position model. The record is from RNAcentral.